AGUGGAAUAACUGGGUCAAAUGGUGGUUCCAUUCCACAUUUUCUAAGGUAUCAUCAUACUGCUUUUCAAAGUGGUUGUACCAUCUUGAAUUCCCACCAGCAAU
Molecule: microRNA precursor, 103 nt
Filed under: Marmota monax (woodchuck)
Lineage: Eukaryota; Metazoa; Chordata; Mammalia; Rodentia; Sciuridae
Source: RNAcentral